GCCUCCGUGGCGCAGUUGGGAGCGCGUCUGGCUCCAGCCCAGAGAUCGCAGGUUCGAGUCCUGCUGGAGGUG
Leguminivora glycinivorella is the source of this 72-nucleotide non-coding RNA. The record is from the annotation of a RefSeq genome assembly. NCBI's taxonomy places the organism in Eukaryota, Metazoa, Arthropoda, Insecta, Lepidoptera, Tortricidae.